GGGCGGGACAAUCAACCCCAUUGGCUGAUGUAAUGUCAGACCACGCCAGCUAUUGGUUGCCCAAUUCAUCAACAAAACAACCAUUAAAGGCCUUUUUCACAGUUUUUAACGAUGUUUUAGCACGUUGGGAUAUAUCUUUCUAAGUAAAAUAAAACACAAAAUCUAUUUAUACUUUCCAAUCUGGUGAAACAAACAACAACAAAAAAUAUUAAAUUAACAUCAAUUUCCACUUGUGUUUUUAACACUGGGUUACACUUGCAUCGUUUUUCUGAUUCUUUAUUUCCCAGUCGCUGAUAUUCCUGACUGGAUUCAGUUUGUGGUCGACAGUCACGUGAUUUCCUAUCCAGGUAAAAUCAUGAUGAUGCUAUUAAUGCAAACUGUCCCUCAUUGCAGAACCAAGGGGCUUCAUUAACACCUCAUUCAGAACCAGACUGGAUCAGCCUCCACAACCCAGAACCUGAAACCCGCCUGUCGCCGCCUGGCGGCCGCAGAGCAGGGUCCCAGGGAAAUCCCGGAGAUCAGAGACGGUACCGAAGGCAUCUUGCAAAAAGCUUCACUUGUUGCUAGGAAACCGAACCUCUGCGUUACUUUUCUUACCAGCUUCCGGUGUAACUGUUGACACAAAGGCAGCUUAACGGCAACAAAAGAGCGAGGAGAAGUUGGAGCUAAAAUGUUUGGUGUUGCUCGCAGCCCGUUUUCUAGAAGCACACGCUGUUUCUGAGAGCAGAAGAAGAGACUUGGAGCCCCGGAUGUUUCACUUCCUGCUGCGAUGCAGAGUUCAGUCUGACAAGAAGAAGAAGAAGAAGAGGUUGAUGUGGAGGAGCAUCUCCUGGCUGUGACAGCAAAAUGAAGCUGCUUCAGCUGCUCUGCUUCCUCCAGCUGAGCUGGCUCUGUCCAGUUCUUCUUGAUGUUUUCACUCCAGACCCUCUGACAACAGAGACGCCUGAAGAGUUUGACUACGACCCUUACGUUCAUCACCUCGGCAGCACAUGCAGGUGGACUUUCAGGUUGCCUGGAAACAGGAGUGGGGAGGCGGUUCCACUCCCACCGGAUUUUUCAGAGACUUUGUCUGACCAGAUCUGCCAGGACCUUAAAUGUGGAAAAGUUUAUACUGUGAAUAAAACCACGCCGCCUCCCAACACCAAGUGCUACAAGCAGUGUCUUUUCCGGGAUUGGCGUCUGCAGAAGUGCCUGCAGGUGGAGAUGGCAGACUGCAUCGUGGCCACAGAAGUGGUCUGUGGUCAUCACUCUGUCCGGCUGAAGGGACAUGGGGACCAGUGUGCUGGGCGGGUGGAGGUAUGGAAGGACGGGACGUGGGGCACGGUGUGUGACGACAGAUUUGACCUGAAUAAUGGCGACGUGGUUUGCGACCAGCUGGACUGUGGCAUCGCUCUCAGGGUGACGGGUCAGAACGGAUUGUUCCCUCCAGGGAGCGGACCGAUCCACCUAGAAGAGCUGAACUGCACCGGGAACGAGCAGAACCUGUGGUUCUGUCCGGGUGUCCAGGAAAACUCUAAAUGCGGACACAAAGAGGAUGCUGGUGUGGUGUGUUCAGAUUCGAAGGCGUUUUUUGGAGGAACCACAGAAGGUCCGCGUUUCAUUCGUCCUGCAGGCGGUCUGACUUCGCAGCAUUUCAGCAUCAUCUUUCUGUGUAUUGGGCUCCUUGUUCUCGUUGGGCUGAGCUUGGCUUUCUGCCGCGUUUACUGUCAUUGGCACGCAAAGUUGAGAUCGGUGAGGACAACGGAGCAGACGGUUUGAGCAACCUGACGGUUGGAGCAACCUGACGGUUGGAGCAACCUGACGGUUUGAGCAACCUGACGGUUUGAGCAACCUGUGGACGAUGAGGAGGAGACGAUGAAGACCCAAACCUUGAAGACGUGACGACUCUAAAAUGCAGAGUAUUGUUGAAGGUCGUCGGCAUCGCCUCGUCUGCUGAUCUGCUCAGCAUCUGGUUUCUGAUUUGCUGACGGCUUUGAUUGCUGCUGGAGCAGAAGAUCAAUCCCACAAUCCACUGCGUCUCCCACUUCCAGCAGCAGGAAGAGGAGGAGCGUCAGACGGAAACGCCUCAGGAUCUGCUGCUUUCUGAAGCCACGCGUCUGGAGAGGACCGCAGCGCUUCCUCACUUUCACUGCAUGCCUCCUCUGCACAACAACAACCCGAAGCCAGACGGUCCGACAGAUAAUCAGAAAAUGGAAAUGAAGAACGAUAUCCAGGGAAAACCGACAACUGGCAAGAAACCAGACUUUGUCGCAUGAAAAGGAAAACUGGGGUGAAAAUUCUCAAGGCCUUCAGAAAGAAGUUAAAUCUCAACAGGAAAUCUGCCUCCAAUUUUCCUAAAUACCACAGAUGAAGAUCUAACAAGAUCUCAUGAUUACUUCUUGGAUAGAUUUCAGUUUCAAAGCAACAUUCAUUGUUUCUGAAUCUGUUGCUUUCAUUCCUCCAUCUUCAUCACUUUUCACUGCAUUUCUUCUUUUGUCAGGAAAGUGAAGUUUGUUUCUCCUGAUGAAGUUAAAGCUUCAUUUUGAUGUUUUGCAGGAUAAAUAAAAGUUUCCA
Poeciliopsis prolifica (blackstripe livebearer) is the source of this 2553-nucleotide RNA transcript. It is a transcript of the gene named scavenger receptor cysteine-rich type 1 protein M130-like, with no coding region annotated. NCBI's taxonomy places the organism in Eukaryota, Metazoa, Chordata, Actinopteri, Cyprinodontiformes, Poeciliidae. The transcript is spliced from 9 exons. The record is from RefSeq and is a predicted model, not a curated record.